GUCAACGACCCAUGGCUAAAGCUGAUGGGCUUCUAGCUCGCAGUUGAGCCGACUAAGUACUUUGCGUACUACGUUAUUGGCGAGAGUUAAAGACCUACCAGGGAAUGCGUAGCCAGUUCCCUGCUCUAGAACUGAAAGAUUAAACAGGUUUAUUUGGUUAAGCCAGUAUCUUUCGGAUAGUACCGACCAAUAACAUUGUCAAGGCUAACAUUAC
Mastigocladus laminosus is the source of this 214-nucleotide non-coding RNA. The record is from Rfam. Lineage: Bacteria; Bacillati; Cyanobacteriota; Cyanophyceae; Nostocales; Hapalosiphonaceae.